Molecule: long non-coding RNA, 448 nt
Organism: Polistes dominula (European paper wasp)
Lineage: Eukaryota; Metazoa; Arthropoda; Insecta; Hymenoptera; Vespidae
Source: RefSeq, a predicted model, not a curated record
CUCGUUGGGUUAGAGGCAGAGAGAUGCCACACGGAGGGGCCUCCGAGACCUCGGCGGGCACCCACCACCACGCAAUUUCCAACCCCACCAGCCUCUCAACCACUGUCCGCACCUCCGACCAACCCCACCAAAGCCUGCCCGAGCCAAGCCGUCAGCCACGACGAGGGCCCCGCGACGAUUUUAGUGUCUUGGGGUGGGUGCUCUCCGUGGGCCACCGUUUCGCGGUUUCUCUCUUAAAAUCCGUCCUGGCACGCCUUUCUCUCUAUCUCUCCAAAUUUCUCAAGUUUUUGUGGAUAUAUUUAUCAAGUUGAAAGAUUGAAAAAAAAAAAAACGUGACAGAAAGAUACGAUUAACUAUGGCGAUACAGGUUAUGUCCGUACUUUCACGUUAAUUACUCUCUUGCGAAAGUGUGAAAAGAGAGAGAGAGAAAAAAAGGAAGGAAACAGAC